AUUGAACGCUGGCGGAAUGCUUUACACAUGCAAGUCGAACGGCAGCACGGACUUCGGUCUGGUGGCGAGUGGCGAACGGGUGAGUAAUACAUCGGAACGUGCCCAAUCGUGGGGGAUAACGUAGCGAAAGCUACGCUAAUACCGCAUACGAUCUAAGGAUGAAAGCGGGGGAUCGCAAGACCUCGCGCGAUUGGAGCGGCCGAUGGCAGAUUAGGUAGUUGGUAGGGUAAAGGCCUACCAAGCCGACGGUCUGUAGCUGGGCUGAGAGGAUGAUCAGCCACACUGGGACUGAGACCCGGCCCAGACGCCUACGGGAGGCAGCAGUGGGGAAUUUUGGACAAUGGACGCAAGUCUGAUCCAGCCAUUCCGCGUGCAGGAUGAAGGCCCUCGGGUUGUAAACUGCUUUUGUACAGAACGAAAAGGCUCUGGUUAAUACCUAGGGCUCAUGACGGUACUGUAAGAAUAAGCACCGGCUAACUACGUGCCAGCCGCCGCCGUAA
Molecule: ribosomal RNA, 500 nt
Filed under: uncultured bacterium
Lineage: Bacteria
Description: partial 16S ribosomal RNA
Rfam family: Bacterial small subunit ribosomal RNA
Source: RNAcentral